AUGGCCAUACACAACCCUGACUUGGCCAAGGAAGUGUUGUCCAACAAAUUCGGCCACUUUGAGAAAGUCAAGUUUCCGCCACUGUCCAGGCUGCUUGCCGCAGGCCUGGCGGAACACGAGGGCGAGAAAUGGGUCAAGCAUAGAAGGAUCCUUAACCCUGCGUUCCACCUGGAGAAGCUCAAGGAAUUAAGUCUCAUGCUGCCAGCGUUGUCUACAAGCUGCGAAGAACUUGUCAAUAGAUGGACGCGGUCCCUUGGCUCAGACGGUACCUAUGAGUUGGAUGUCUUCCCGGAGUUCCAAAGACUCACUGGAGAUGUCAUUUCUCGCACCGCAUUUGGCAGUAACUACCUCGAAGGUGCCAGGGUUUUCCAGCUGCAAUCCGAGCAAGUUGAACGCAUUGCCGGGGCUUGGAAGAUUGGCAUUCCCGGUUACUUGUCCUUGCCCACCAAAAAUAAUAGAAAGAUGCAUCAAAAUAAUAGUGAAAUUGAAUCCAUUCUACAUGGUUUAAUUGGAAAAAGAAUGCAAGCUAUGCAAGAAGGAGAAAAUACCAAAGAGGACUUACUUAGCUUGAUGCUUGAGUCAAACAUGAGGACCUCAGAUGACAACGGCCAAUUCAUCUCAGGAAUGACCAUUAAAGAGGUGACCUUGAUUCUUUAUGAGGUACUCUGGUUGUACUCGCCUGCUGUCGCAUUCUUCCGUAAAACAUACAAGGAGAUAAAGAUUGGGGGCAUCACAUACCCCGCCGAUGUUCUCAUUGAGCUUCCCCUGUUGUUAAUGAACCAUGACCCAGAUAUAUGGGAAGGGGACGUACAUGAGUUCAAGCCGGAGAGGUUCACCAACGGGAUCUCCCAGGCAUCCAAGAAUCCCGGUGCAUUCCUACCAUUCAGUUGGGGGCCACGUAUCUGCAUUGCCCAACAGUUCGCCCUUCUUGAGGCUAAGAUGGCGUUUUGCAUGAUCCUUCAAUGCCUUGAGUUUGAGCUCGCACCGUCAUACACUCAUGCCGUAAAUAACACCAGACUGAUGCGCCCAAUGCAUGGUGCGCAAAUCAAGCUUAGGGCAAUUUGA
RNAcentral lists this ribosomal RNA (1065 nucleotides) under Triticum aestivum (bread wheat). RNAcentral describes it as "partial small subunit ribosomal RNA". Lineage: Eukaryota; Viridiplantae; Streptophyta; Magnoliopsida; Poales; Poaceae. The record is from RNAcentral.